GGAAAGUGGAUAUUCUUGCAUACUGUUUAGUGGUGCGUUGGACUUUCACAUGUCAGACUCAUGCAUAGCUCGACUUAGCUAAACAAAGAAGCAGGCAAGCAGAAAAAUUUUAAGUAUAGAGAAUGUCACCACCCUCUGCAGCCAGGGGAAAAUCAGUACGUGGUAGCCAGACUGGAAGACCAAGAGGAAGACCACCAAAAGCUUUAGCUGGGCAGAAAACUGUUCCAUCCAACUGUCGAUGAAGAAUUAGGACAUGUACAUGAAGAAAUCUUGUUGGAGGAGGCACAAUAUUAAAAUUUGGAGUAUUUGGUAUUUUAUUUGGUAUUUGUAUUUUAUUUUAUUUGGUAUUUGACCAAAUAAUGAAAAAAAUGUAUUUGGAAUACCAUGUAUUUUAAGAAACAUGUAUUUUAUUUGAUCAAAUACAUAACUUUUGUCAAAUACAAAACACUGAGU
Long non-coding RNA from Daphnia magna, 453 nucleotides. RefSeq lists it as uncharacterized. The record is from RefSeq and is a predicted model, not a curated record. The transcript is spliced from 3 exons. NCBI's taxonomy places the organism in Eukaryota, Metazoa, Arthropoda, Branchiopoda, Diplostraca, Daphniidae.